This is a long non-coding RNA of Phascolarctos cinereus (koala), 1486 nucleotides long. RefSeq lists it as uncharacterized. Lineage: Eukaryota; Metazoa; Chordata; Mammalia; Diprotodontia; Phascolarctidae. The record is from RefSeq and is a predicted model, not a curated record.
CUAGAGGAAGGGCCCGCACCGCUACCGCCGCCGCCACUGCUGAGCCUCGGGGCCGGGUCGGGCGGGGGGGGGGUGUGUGUGCGGGGGACUCUGUCACCUCUUGGCAGCUCCCAUUGGAGCGCUGGCCUGUCACUCAGGCGCGCCGGGCGGAAACGGUGAAUUUUGAUUGACCGAGAGGCAAGAAGCGGAACCACAAGCUUAAAUCCACGGAUGAUUGGCCGAAUUCGGGGCCCAGAAAGCCAAGCAGGGCGGUGCCAUGUUUGUCCGCAGGAACCAGUGAACAAAGACGCUUCAGUCACGUGAGGGACGAGCGACGCCGGGCGUCACAUGUUUAGCUCCGGGGGGCGGGGCAAAGGUGCGCGUGGGAGGGGCGUGAGAGCGGUCGGGAAGUGCGACUUCAGGUUCUCGGUCUACGAAGCGGGCACGUGGAGCGCACCUUGGUGCGUGACCUAGCGCAGGCGUCCAGGCUGCUCCAGCCUCAGUUUCUUUAACUGCUAAGGAAGGGGAGGGGUCUGUGCCCCCCCGCGGUGCUCAGAGCAGCCCAGGUUCCCCCGGCCCGCUCGAAUCCAGCGUUUGCUGCGAGGGCUGUUUCUGGAAGCCGACUCUGGUCCAGUGUGUCAGCCAUCCCACCCAACUUCAUGUCAUCUGGAAAUCUGAGAAACAGCCACCUGUUUUUCAUCCAAGUCACUGAUAAUGCGUGUUGAUAGCAUGAGACGACGAACAGAGCCUUGUGGCACUCUGAUGGAGACCGUGUGUACUGACCCAUUAAUGACACUCUUUGAGACUGGGCAUUCAGUGAGUACCGGUCAUCUGGACAGUGUCACUAUUGUAUCCAGGAGGAGAACAUGAGAGACUUUGCUAAGAUUUAGGUAAUGUAUAUCUGUAGCAUGGCCUAGUAACCUGGUCAGAAGAGGAAAUGAGCUUACUGUGGCAUCACCCGAUGUUGAGGAGGGGCAGACUGGCUCUGAAUCAUCCCUUCCCUUUGUACAUGCCCACAAGUCUCCCUUCAAUUAGACAUUCUGGAAUUUUUCCAGGAAUCAGAGUCAAGGUCACCAGGCUGUAGUAGCAAGGACUACAGCUCUCCCUCAGACAACCCUGGGGCGCACUUCGGCACUCCCUCUCCUCGAGUCAGAAUCUGAGGUUCGUCACGGGUUAUAACUCGGGUUUUGUGUGUUGUGCAGGGGCCGCUAGGGCGGUGAGCUUUAUGGCUUCCCCUUCUUGCCUUGUUCUUCCUCUAUUGAAUCUGCCAUGGUGAACCUCUGUGGUAAAUCCCCGUGGACCGCUGUGUCCUGCAGGCUCCCUUUCCAGACUUCAUGACAUGUUUCCAUUUACCCUCAUUAGGGCUCUUUAUCCCUGAGCAAUAGGUCAUGUAUCUGUAUGUGCCUCACUCAUGUAAUAAACUGCCAACAAGAUCCAGUCCCUCUCAACUUACAACCUUGGCAAGGAAUACAAUUUGCCCAGCACAAUAAAGAAACACAUCUUAACA